Molecule: non-coding RNA, 92 nt
Submitted as: unclassified sequences
Source: Rfam
GUCAGCCCCGCCUAUCGCCACGGUCAUUCAGGGUAAGUCCGUCCAUAGGGCGGCGCCGUGGCGGGUUUGAUGGGAAAGGCGGGGUAGGAGGA